RNAcentral lists this long non-coding RNA (2465 nucleotides) under Nicotiana benthamiana. RNAcentral's name for it is "long non-coding RNA (NBEN_LNC010341)". Lineage: Eukaryota; Viridiplantae; Streptophyta; Magnoliopsida; Solanales; Solanaceae. The record is from RNAcentral.
GUUUAAAGACCAAUUCCCUCAGCACAUAAACUGAACAGCCAACAACUAGAACAGCCCAAGCAUAGUCCAGUCUUGGACCAAUUAUACAGUUGUAUUCAAAUUGAAACUAAAAUACAUUAAGCUAUUGUGUUUCAACAAUUUAGGCAUCAGUACAUGUAGUCCAAAUAGAUAAGGUUCAAGAAGCAAAAGGUAAGCAUUUCCAUUUGUAUUCCCACUUCAAAUCAUCACAAAUACAUCAGGAAAGAAAGCAAAUACCUAGAUUGGACAAAUAGAACAAAAGAAGGAAGAGCAGUUAGCAGCAGCAGAUAACACAGCAACACCAACAGAAAAUCACCAGCAGUAAUGGAAUAGUUAAAACAAAAACCAACACAGCAAUACCACUCUCCAAAUUUGAAAAACACUCAAACCGAAGACAACACUGAUUUGCAGAACCAAACAGUAAUACAGACACCCAAACAAAACAAACUAGCUCGGAUAAGUUCAGAAACAGAAUCAAUAGACUGCCAAAUAUAUUCAACAAUCGAAAGGGUUAAGAACCAGUGCUUGAAAUCCAAAAUCUUCCUAGAACUUAAUGGAACAGUACCCUUUCUUUUAAACUCUCUCUCAAAACUAAUUCAAGACCUAAAAAAACCAAAACCAAAAGAAGAACCUAAGAGAAUUGAUUGCUUCUUUCCUAAAACUUCUUAUAUUCUUUCAACUUUGACCUAUGAAAACUGAUUUCAAAAGCACACCCUUAACUCUGUCCUAAGCCCCUCCAUUUAUAUCCAAACGCUUUUACCAUUUUCAACCCUUCUUUUUCUUUUACAGUUGUAAAAGAAACCCUUUAAUUAUUACCCCAUGCUUCUUUUUACUUUUCAGCUUUAUAUAUUCUUCUACUAUGUGAACCUUUUUAGCAUUUUCAUUAUUAAUUGCUGUUUUUGAUUUCUAAAUUAGUAAAAAGCAUUCAACAGAUUAUUACUCCCACAACCCAUUAGAGCCCUACUUAUUACUUAGUGGCCCCCUAUUAAUAAAGCAUUAGUUUAAGGGUACAUCAGGACCCUACUCGACAGACUACCCAGUAAAACCCUAUUUUCAAACUUCCAGUCUAUCCAAAAUACCCUUGAGUAUUAGUUUAAGGGUACAUCAGGACCCUACUGGACAGACUACCCAGUAAACCCCAUUUUCAAACUUUUAGUCUAUCCAAAAUACCCUUGACAAACCCUGUGGUUUACCCUAGGACCCCCUAUUAUACCUCAUCAGCUAUAACCAAAUACACCUAACCAAGCUCAAUCAACAGCUUAAACUAGAACUCGUAUCAGAUAAAAAAUGGUAUCACAAAUGAAGGGAAUAAUCUAACCAUAUUGGGAACCAAUCAUGGUUAACUUAGACAAAAUGAAUGUGCCAGAAAAACACCAAUAUGAUGAAUAACAGGAACAAACUGAAACAGUAUGAUGCACAAACAGAACGAAGAGUGAGCUUAUCAUCAUUCUAAAUCAAACCUAUACAAAAAUGUAGGGUCACUUGACAGUGAACUAAACAAACUGAAACAGUAUGAUGCACAAAUAGAACAGGGACUGAGCUUAUCAUCAUUCUAAAUCAAACCCAUACAAAAAUGUAGGGUCACUUAACAGUGAAGUAAAUGCCUAAGAAUCGGCAGAUAACACAUUCUACAUCAAACCAUUCGACGAGAACAACAGAGCUACAAACAAGAAUGAAUUAAUCGACAAAACUAUUUAUAACCUAUGCUAUCAACUGUCACGAGAAAACUAGACCAAGUAAAAGGUCUGAUGGAGAGGAAGAAGAGCAAUAAACAAAAAAUGAAUUAUAAACCUAUUUUAGGCAAACUAAUAAUCCAUUGAACUAUUCUGCCGAACAUUGGAGUAGUAAUCUAACAAAAAUUAGAAAGAGAGGCGGAUUAAGAACCUAUAAUUAACUUAAGCUAAAACCUAAGAAAAGAUAAUUAAAACUUAACACAAACAAACGAACAUUAUAUAGAAAAAAGAAAAAGAAGAUAUUCAAGAAAACUUACUGAUCUUUUGGAUUCCAAACGACAUGCUCUUCAAAGUCGAUUUUCAGUUAGUAUUAUAUGCCUAUUUUGUCAGAAACAGGCCUAUAAUACUAACUAGAAACCAACUUGACCCUGAUGACUUCGAAGCAGUCUCGAACCCCUGAACCUUAGAUCCCUAGUUUGAUGAGCUUAACUCAGAUUUGGACCAAAUUGGUUAAGGAUUAGGGGAGAGGGUGGUCUGUGGAUAGCUGGUGUGAUUAUUGGGUGGAUUGGAGGACCUAGGGUUUUUGAUCGAAUCUUCGAUUAAAGAUUCGAGACAGCUCCUGAUGAUUCGAGUUUAACGGAGUACGUAUUUGGACUGAGGGGGGUCAGAUUUCAUGGCCGGCUGACUACCGGCCGCCGAGUUUCAGGCGAGAGGAUUCAGUGGUUGCCAGGGUUCUUAGAGAUACCAAAUGGUCUUUAGUCUCUGAUCUCAGAG